AACGCGAAGAACCUUACCAGGGUUUGACAUCUCCGGACAGUCCGUGAAAGCGGAUCUUCCCCGCAAGGGGACUGGAAGACAGGUGUUGCAUGGUUGUCGUCAGCUCGUGUCGUGAGAUGUUGGGUUAAGUCCCGCAACGAGCGCAACCCCCAUCUUCAGUUGCCAGCGGUUUGGCCGGGCACUCUGAAGAAACUGCCGGUGACAAGCCGGAGGAAGGCGGGGAUGACGUCAAGUCCUCAUGGCCCUUAUGGGCUGGGCUACACACGUGCUACAAUGGCGGUGACAGAGGGCGGCGCGGCAGCGAUGCCUAGCCAAUCUCGAAAAGCCGUCUCAGUUCGGAUUGCUCUCUGCAACUCGGGAGCAUGAAGUCGGAAUCGCUAGUAAUCGCGGAUCAGCAUGCCGCGGUGAAUACGUUCCCGGGCCUUGUACACACCGAGACGAC
Molecule: ribosomal RNA, 442 nt
Filed under: uncultured bacterium
Lineage: Bacteria
Description: bacterial SSU rRNA
Rfam family: Bacterial small subunit ribosomal RNA
Source: RNAcentral